Molecule: long non-coding RNA, 857 nt
Organism: Chinchilla lanigera (long-tailed chinchilla)
Lineage: Eukaryota; Metazoa; Chordata; Mammalia; Rodentia; Chinchillidae
Exons: 2
Source: RefSeq, a predicted model, not a curated record
UUCCAGGACAGAUGCCAUGAAUUCUCUCUCUGGGCCAGGGGAUGCAAGCCUAUGGAAGACACGAGGACAGGAAAGAUGAUUAUGGUUGCUGUUGAAAAGGACUAUCCUCCAUUGUUUCUAGAAGCUGAUGCUUUUCACUCAUUACCCACAUGUGUUCUGCAGAGCACGAACUCACUGUCACAGAUUGGCAUGGCACUGGCAAUGGUACAAUCCUUUGAUAGCCUUUAUAAGGAGAAAGAAUAGAGCCUCCUCUUUUCACUUCUGUAGAUUUCUGGUUCUGAAAGAGCAACCUAAUGAUAAAGCUGUCCUGAUCCUACAGACUUCUGAAGAAAACUCUCUUGAUGUGUACCAGAAAAAGAGUAAAGCCCUAAUUCUGAUAAAUCAGUUAACGAAGAACUAUUAGAAACUCACAAAAAGUAUCACGCUAAGAACUAUUCUUCCUCACCUAGCCUGGAAGUGAAUUCUAAACAUUAUUCCCAUUGUGUAGGUGGGAAAUGAAGCCACACACAUUGACAUGGUUUUUGAAGGUCUUCUGCUGUAUAAAAAAGAUUUACAAAUGAAGAUUUCCAAGACUACACUUAAGUGUAGGGCUGAGACCUAGACACUGCGUCCUUCAGAAGAUAUGGAAGAAUGACCUGAUUUGAGGACCAGAUUUGGAAGCAGAUGGGAACUUCAAAUCCCCUUUCCAUUGCUUACCAACUUUAUAUCUUUGAGCCAGCCUGCAUAACUGGUGUGUUCAAAGAAGGAAGAAUAGAUAUCACAAACUUAGAAGUCUGUUUAAAGAUGAAAUUCAGUAUGGGGGAAAUUCUCUGGCGUAUUAUGAUAAGUCACCAAUAAAGUAUUACUUUCCUCCUUCA